This 497-nucleotide ribosomal RNA is filed under the name uncultured bacterium. RNAcentral's name for it is "partial 16S ribosomal RNA". It matches the Rfam family "Bacterial small subunit ribosomal RNA", at positions 28 to 507 of the family's 1533-position model. The record is from RNAcentral.
GAUGAACGCUGGCGGCGUGCCUAAUACAUGCAAGUCGAGUGAACAGACGAGGAGCUUGCUCCUCUGACGUUAGCGGCGGACGGGUGAGUAACACGUGGAUAACCUACCUAUAAGACUGGGAUAACUUCGGGAAACCGGAGCUAAUACCGGAUAAUAUAUUGAACCGCAUGGUUCAAUAGUGAAAGACGGUUUUGCUGUCACUUAUAGAUGGAUCCGCGCCGCAUUAGCUAGUUGGUAAGGUAACGGCUUACCAAGGCAACGAUGCGUAGCCGACCUGAGAGGGUGAUCGGCCACACUGGAACUGAGACACGGUCCAGACUCCUACGGGAGGCAGCAGUAGGGAAUCUUCCGCAAUGGGCGAAAGCCUGACGGAGCAACGCCGCGUGAGUGAUGAAGGUCUUCGGAUCGUAAAACUCUGUUAUUAGGGAAGAACAAAUGUGUAAGUAAAUAUGCACGUCUUGACGGUACCUAAUCAGAAAGCCACGGCUAACUACGUG